Molecule: ribosomal RNA, 246 nt
Filed under: uncultured Lactobacillus sp.
Lineage: Bacteria; Bacillati; Bacillota; Bacilli; Lactobacillales; Lactobacillaceae
Description: partial 16S ribosomal RNA
Rfam family: Bacterial small subunit ribosomal RNA
Source: RNAcentral
CGUGGGUAACCUGCCCAAGAGAUCGGGAUAACACCUGGAAACAGAUGCUAAUACCGGAUAACAACAGAUGAUGCCUAUCAACUGUUUAAAAGAUGGUUCUGCUAUCACUCUUGGAUGGACCUGCGGUGCAUUAGCUAGUUGGUAGGGUAACGGCCUACCAAGGCGAUGAUGCGUAGCCGAGUUGAGAGACUGAUCGGCCACAUUGGGACUGAGACACGGCCCAAACUCCUACGGGAGGCAGCAGGG